This is a long non-coding RNA of Rosa rugosa (rugosa rose), 1252 nucleotides long. RefSeq lists it as uncharacterized. NCBI's taxonomy places the organism in Eukaryota, Viridiplantae, Streptophyta, Magnoliopsida, Rosales, Rosaceae. The record is from RefSeq and is a predicted model, not a curated record. The transcript is spliced from 4 exons.
GAGGACAUUUUAGAAAUGAUUUCGUGGUCAUGGGAGAAAGUAUGAAGCUUGGAGGAGUGGUGAAAUUGGUUCGAACAAUUUUUAUUCGAAAACUGAACGUUUUAGGGGAGGUCAAAGGAGUUGACUUUUUAUACGUUCAUAAUUGGGGAAAACUUCCUUCAUGAAAGUUGUAGAGCUCGUCGAUACGAUCUCGUGCAUAUGUGGUAUGCAAAAAUCAGAGUUCGUAUGAAUUAGUUAUGAUUUUUUUGAAAAAGUUUCCAGUUUAGUAUAAAGCUGCCAUUUUUGGAAAUUACCAAAAAUAAUUUCAGUUCCAUUUCUGGAAACCGAACUCUCUCUCUCUUGCGCGCGUCCGAGCCCAGAAAAAACAGAGCAAAGCUCUCCGGCCGAGUUCUCCCUCCUCCGGCCACCAAUCGACACCAGACCACCUCCCUUGCCUUCGCCUCGACGCCGCCUACCUGCUAGACGUGAUCACUUCCACCGGAACGGCCUCAAAUCCGGCAGUCGGAGCCGCAAACUUUGAAACAAAAAUCGGUCAACGCCGGUUUUCUCCUCGCUCCGGCCACCAAAACUCACGAUCCUUAGCUCCCUGAACUCGCCUCAACCUUCUGAUCAUCAUUCUAGAAGGAUCGCACCUGGAGUGAUCGGAUUCACGUUCGUCGGAGCUCGCCGGAUUCUGGAAAUUUUCCACCACCACCGAAGCUUUUGAUAGAAGGAAUCGAAGCCUGAAAUUGAAGUUUUGACGUCGAAAUCAAGCCUUGCCGGAUUCUGCAAAAUUCUGGAAUUUUUCCGACCACCGAAGCUUUCGAUCGGUAUAUCUCGAGCUACAGACCAUAUUUUUCUGUGAUUCUUGAACCAGUGAGUUCUUCUUGAGUUUCUUAACAACUCUUCAGAAGGAAUCGAAGCCUUAAAUUGACGUUUUUACGUCGAAUUGGAGCUCGCCGUUUUCUGCAGUUUCUCGCCGGUUUCUGGAAAAUUCCGGCCACCUUCAUACUGUUCAAGGUGAUCGACGGUUUGAUUUGGCGGACGAUUCGUGAAAUUGUAUUUUGAGCUGUUAAGAAGACGCAGCGGGAAUUUAGAGCGGGUAAUCCUACAGGUCAGGAGAACCAGGACGGUGAUCGGGCUGCUUAGAGUAGUGUUAUGUGAAUUACAGCAUUAUAUUGUGAGGUUUGUUAUGCUCAUUUAGAGCUUUACGAUUUUACUUUGUAAGAGUGAAUUGUAAUAAUUAACUCGAGGUUUUCGAGUUUUGUGUUGA